UACGUAGGAGGCAAGCGUUAUCCGGAAUGACUGGGCGUAAAGGGUGCGUAGGUGGUUUGAUAAGUUGGUAGCGUAAUUCCGAGGCUCAACCUCGGCGCUACUACCAAAACUGGCGGGCUAGAGAGCAGGAGAGGGCGGUGGAACUCCAUGUGUAGCGGUAAAAUGCGUAGAUAUAUGGAAGAACACCAGUGGCGAAGGCGGCCGCCUGGCCUGUUAACUGACGCUGAGGCACGAAAGCGUGGGGAGCAAAUAGG
RNAcentral lists this ribosomal RNA (254 nucleotides) under uncultured bacterium. RNAcentral's name for it is "partial 16S ribosomal RNA". It matches the Rfam family "Bacterial small subunit ribosomal RNA", at positions 524 to 776 of the family's 1533-position model. The record is from RNAcentral.